Molecule: long non-coding RNA, 543 nt
Organism: Lontra canadensis (Northern American river otter)
Lineage: Eukaryota; Metazoa; Chordata; Mammalia; Carnivora; Mustelidae
Exons: 5
Source: RefSeq, a predicted model, not a curated record
ACAAUAGUCAUGAGACCUGCACAGUCACAGAGGCCACCAAGGUGAUUGAACCACAGCCUGUCUCUGUUUACUCUAGGAGGGCAAGGAUGGGAGAUUUUUUCCAGACAUUCAUGUCCUCUUCCCCUUUGUCCCUCCCAUUGCUCCUGGGUAUCUGUUGAAGGAAAGCACAGAAUCCAAUAUAGAAACUGAUGAGACUUUUGAACCUUUUCACUCCCUGGGAAUGAUAAACAUUCUUGAAGUCAGGAGACAAAACCAUGAGAAGGUGGUGGUCCGAAGGAGCUCAUAGCAACAUCAAGAAAAUGAAUGGAGUUUUUAAGGGGGAGUGUAGAAGGUAGUUAAGAAGUUUAAGAAGGAGCUGCCAGCAGGAGAGCCUCCCACCCAUGCCUGUGCCCCAGGCGACAUGGACAUUUCUUAGAGUGACAAGGAUGCUCAUAGUAAUUGCGCCAAGACAACAGUUCUGUGGUUGUGAAACCUGGAGCAGCUGCAUCCAUCUUGUGACCAUGAGGAGAGCUAGUGGAGGAAAAGCAAGUGGCUGAGGAUGGC